RNAcentral lists this ribosomal RNA (745 nucleotides) under uncultured bacterium. RNAcentral describes it as "bacterial SSU rRNA". It matches the Rfam family "Bacterial small subunit ribosomal RNA", at positions 748 to 1505 of the family's 1533-position model. The record is from RNAcentral.
UCAGCCCGAAAAGGUGGGGAGCAAACAGAUAGAUACCCUGGUAGUCACGCCCUAAACGAUGUCAACUAGUGUCGGGAUUCAUUUCCUGGUAACGCAGCUAACGCGUGAAGUGACCGCCUGGGGACUACGGCCGCAAGGUUAAAACUCAAAGGAAUUGACGGGGACCCGCACAAGCGGUGGAUGAUGUGGAUUAAUUCGAUGCAACGCGAAAAACCUUACCUACGCUUGACAUGCCAGGAACUUUCCAGAGAUGGAUAGGUGCCCGAAAGGGAACCUGGACACAGGUGCUGCAUGGCUGUCGUCAGCUCGUGUCGUGAGAUGUUGGGUUAAGUCCCGCAACGAGCGCAACCCUUAUCCUUAGUUGCUACGCAAGGGCACUCUAGGGAGACUGCCGGUGACAAACCGGAGGAAGGUGGGGAUGACGUCAAGUCCUCAUGGCCCUUAUGUGUAGGGCUUCACACGUCAUACAAUGGUCGGUACAGAGGGUUGCCAACCCGCGAGGGGGAGCCAAUCCCAGAAAACCGAUCGUAGUCCGGAUCGCACUCUGCAACUCGAGUGCGUGAAGUCGGAAUCGCUAGUAAUCGCGGAUCAGCAUGUCGCGGUGAAUACGUUCCCGGGUCUUGUACACACCGCCCGUCACACCAUGGGAGUGGGUUUUGCCAGAAGUGGGUAGCCUAACCGCAAGGAGGGCGCUUACCACGGCAGGGCUCAUGACUGGGGUGAAGUCGUAACAAGGUAGCCGUAA